This 663-nucleotide ribosomal RNA is filed under the name Triticum aestivum (bread wheat). RNAcentral describes it as "partial small subunit ribosomal RNA". Lineage: Eukaryota; Viridiplantae; Streptophyta; Magnoliopsida; Poales; Poaceae. The record is from RNAcentral.
AUGAAUGACAAUGAUGUUGGAGAUCAGCUGUACAUGUUGGCCAAGAAACCAUCUUCGACUAUAAUGAUUUUCCAAGGGUACGAGAUAAAUGGGAAUACAUUUUACACCAUCGCCCAAGAUAAAAAGAGCACCAACCAAAACAGUGGUGUCCGCUUUGAUGCAGCAACCGAGAAUGGGCGAAAGGUCACAUAUUAUGGUUACAUAGAGGAGAUAUGGGAACUUGACUAUGGACCCUCCUUUAAGGUCCCUUUGUUCCGGUGCAAAUGGUUCAAGCUAACAGGAGGUGGGGUAAAGGUGGACGAGCAAUACGGAAUGACAAUGGUGGAUUUCAACAAUCUUGGUUACCUUGACAAACCAUUCGUCCUUGCGAAAGAUGUCGCUCAGGUUUUUUAUUUGAAGGACAUGAGUAGCAAACCGAGGAAACGGAAAGAUAAGAAAACGAUCAGUACAUCAUGCGAUGAUCCAAAGCGCCACAUUGUUCUUUCAGGGAAAAGAAACAUCGUGGGAGUGGAGGACAAGACAGACAUGUCAGAAGAUUAUAAUAUGUUUGGUGAAAUUCCGCCCUUCAAAGUGAACACUGACCCAAGCAUUAAGUUAAAUGAUGAGGAUGCUCCAUGGAUACGGCACAAUCGUAAGCAAGCAGGGACACAAGGGAAGAAUUGA